CCCUUAGAUGUCCGGGGCCGCACGCGCGCUACAAUGGAUGAAUCAACGCGUCAUCCUGGCCCGAAAGGGUUGGGGAACCGCUGAACCUCAUCCGUGGUUGGGAUUGGGGUUUGUAAUUAUUCCCCAUGAACUAGGAAUUCCCAGUAAGCGCGAGUCAUAAGCUCGCGUUGAUUACGUCCCUGCCCUUUGUACACACCGCCCGUCGCUACUGCCGAUUGGAUGGUUUAGUGAGAUCCUCGGAUUGGUCACGGCACGGUGGCAACACUGCGUCGGUGUGCCGAGAAGACGAUCAAACUUGAUCAUCUAGAGGAAGUAAAAGUCGUAACA
This 327-nucleotide ribosomal RNA is filed under the name uncultured eukaryote. RNAcentral describes it as "partial 18S ribosomal RNA". It matches the Rfam family "Eukaryotic small subunit ribosomal RNA", at positions 1470 to 1796 of the family's 1831-position model. The record is from RNAcentral.